RNA transcript from Manis pentadactyla (Chinese pangolin), 10803 nucleotides. It is a transcript of the gene named shroom family member 4, with no coding region annotated. NCBI's taxonomy places the organism in Eukaryota, Metazoa, Chordata, Mammalia, Pholidota, Manidae. The record is from RefSeq and is a predicted model, not a curated record. The transcript has 10 exons.
GCCUCGCCUCACUCCCGCUCCCCGGCGAUCCCAUAGGCGAGGUCCCAGGGACUGCUCUUCCCCAUUGCUCCGGUUUCUUGUCCAUUACGUGCUAUCCCUCCGCCUCUCCUUCUUUCUUUUCUUUUCUUUUUUCCCUUCUCCAUUCUCCCCCUCUCUCCCCCUUUCUUCAGCUCCGUGUCAUUUCCUCCUUGUGCUCGCUCGCUGCCUGAGCGUCUCCAGCCGGGAGAGUAGGCGGAGCGGGGCGGUGCGGGACGGCGUAACUCUGGAGGGCGAUGGUGGCGGAGCUGCUGGGGGCGGAGGCAACGUAGUCCCCGCGGAAAAGGAGCCCCGCGGCGCCUGAGCCGAGCGGAGGAUGGAGAACGCGCUUGGGUCCUUCCAGUACGUCCUUGUGCAGCUGCAAGGGGGGGCUCCCUGGGGCUUCACCCUUAAGGGGGGUCUGGAACACUGCGAACCGCUCACGGUGUCUAAGAUCGAAGAUGGGGGCAAGGCAGCCUUGUCCCAGAAGAUGAGGACUGGUGAUGAGCUGGUGAAUAUCAAUGGCACUCCAUUGUAUGGUUCCCGCCAAGAGGCCCUCAUCCUCAUCAAAGGCUCUUUCCGGAUCCUGAAGCUGAUUGUCAGGAGGAGAAACGCCCCUGUCGGUAGGCCGCACUCAUGGCAUGUGGCCAAACUGCUGGAGGGAUGCCCUGAGGCGGCCACCACCAUGCAUUUCCCUUGUGAAGCCUUCAGCUUGUCCUGGCAUUCUGGCUGCAACACAAGUGACGUCUGUGUGCAGUGGUGUCCACUUUCCUGGCACUGCAGCACUGAGAAAAGCAGCUCCAUUGGCAGCAUGGAGAGCCUGGAGCAACCAGGCCAAGCCACCUAUGAGGGCCAUCUCUUGCCCACUGACCAGAAUAUGUACCCCAACCAGCGUGACUCAGCGUAUAGCUCCUUCUCGGCCAGCUCAAAUGCAUCUGACUGUGCCCUUUCUCUCAGGCCAGAGGAGCCAGCCUCUGCAGACUGCAUCAUGCAAGGCUCAGGGCCAACUAAGCCCCCUACUGGCCAGCCUAAUGCAGCUGAGACUUCAGGAGGUAUGCAGCACACCUGUGGGGGCCACCUGACUCCCAGCUCCCAGAUGUCACCCUGCCCACAGGAGGCCCACCACGCAGGGCCUGCCAAGGCUUCAAGGGACCCACCACAACCUCCAGUGAGGAAAGACAGUCUUCAGGCCUCCAGAGCCCAGCUCCUCAACGGAGAGCAGCACAGGGCUUCUGAGCCUGUGGACUGCUUGCAACAGAAGGACACUGUGCCAUCCCCAAGGAACCCUAACAGGUUCUGCUGCUUCAGUGGGCAAGAACAAGUGACAGACAAGGGCCAUCAGAACUGCGAGCUCAGCCAGCCUCCCGAAUUCAGCCAGCAUGUCUCUGAGCAUCUACUGAUAGAUGCCUCAGUCAAAGCUGUUGGAUUCCCAAAAGCGUAUAACAAAGCUUCUAGCAUAGAUUCCAGCCCACUCAACAAGGUUUCAGCAGAGCUAGCUAAGACUUCUUUUGGCAGCCCUUCACACCUCAUAGGACCCACAGGGCAUUGCCAUAGUGCCCCUGAACAGCUGCUGGCAUCCCACUUGCAGCGUAUGCACCUUGAUAUCAGGGGCAGCAAGGGAAUGGAGCUCCCCACUGCGCAGGAUGGGCAUGAGUGGACUCUGUCUCCUUUGCAUAGCAGCCACACAGGGAAGAAAAGCCCAUGUUCCCCUGCAGGGGGAAUCCAGCUCCAGCCCAGCAAAGAGAUAAAGACCAGGUCAGUGGAUGACAGGCCUUUGGAUUCAGGGCAGCAGAGCUCAAGCAGUUCCCCACAUGGAGAGGCUGAUAGACACCCUCCAGAAAGAAGUUUCCAGGAUGCAAACAUACCAAGCAGAGCAGGCAGUGAAUUAGCCAGCCAGCAGCCCUCUACCUCUGGCUCCCUUGUUCAACAAACCAGGGACUAUUCUGCAACCACUAAGGUAGCUGGCAGCAUGGAGGGAACCAAAGAAGGGGAUAGUGAACCCAAGGAGUGUGGCCAGGUGGGUGGUAGGCGAAAUGGAGGCACCCAGGGCCGCUCUAUCCAAAACCGGCGGAAGAGUGAGCGUUUUGCUACCAGUCUGCGUAACGAAAUUCAGAGGAGGAAGGCUCAGCUGCAGAAAAGCAAGAGUCCCUUGUCACAGCUAUAUGACACCAAGGAGCCAGUGGAAGAGACGGAGGAGCUCCUAGAAAGUCCUGCACCUCCUGCCUCUAACUCAUCUCUUCUUUCUUCAUGUAAAAAAUCACCUAGCCCAAGAGACAAGCUCUUCAACAAUAGUAUGAUACUCAAGGCUAGGUCUUCAGAGUGCCUCAGCCAAGCCUCUGGGAACCAUGAAUCUAGGACAAGUUUGGAGAAACAAAUAAGCCCGGGCCGGAAGCCUGGCCAGCCCUCUUUGGGCCUGAACACUUGUUGGAAAGCAUCUGACCCAUCCUCUUCAGACUCUGAAAAAACAAAUGUUCACCAAGGUGUCUGUGGAGGUCACAGGAGGUGGUCUCCAGAGCACAACCUGCAGACACAUGUGGCACUAGCCAUGGAAAGCCCUUCCAACCCAGCUGACCACAAGGAAUUGAAGGCUGCUACUGCCCCAGCUGGGGAGGAAGCCAUCCUCCUGCCCUUUGCAGACAGGAGAAAGUUCUUUGAAGAGAGUAGCAAAUCCUUAUGUACAUCUCAUUUGCCAGGUUUAACCACUCACAGCAAUAAGACUUUCACCCAGAGACCAAAACAAAUGGAACAAAACUUCCAGCCAAUGAACUCCAGCUAUAGGGAACUGAGGUGCCAUCCCACAGACCAAUCAUAUCAUUCCAUGCCAGGCCUUCAGUCAGAAACUCCCACUUACUCAGAAUGUUUUGCAAGCAAAGGUCUAGACGAAUCCAUGUGUUGUAAGCCACUGCACUGUGGUGAUUUUGAUUACCACAGGACCUGCUCUUAUUCCUGCAGUGUUCAAGGAGCUGUAGUCCAUGACCCUUGCAUGUAUUGUUCUGGGGAACUCUGUCCUGCUUUGAGAAAGAGAAAUAUGAUGCCAAACUGCUACAACUGCCGAUGCCACCACCACCAGUGCCUCUGGUGUUUGGCUUGCUACCAUAAUCCCCAGCACAGUACCCUUGAGGACAGCAGUUUGGCACCUGGCAGCACUCGAAAAUCCAGGAAGCUGACAGCACAGGAAUUUCCUGGGGACAAAUGGAAAUCAAUAACAGGGAACAGGAAGACCAGCCAGUCAGGGAGGGAAAUGGCUCAUUCCAAGGGUAGCUUUUCAUGGGCAAUCCCCUUCCAUCCUUGCCUUGGGAACCCAGCACUGGACUUGUCAAGCAACCGAGCAAUCUCUUCUCUUGACCUCCUUGGAGACUUCAAGCAAUUCUUGAAAAAAACAGAGGAAACUUCUAUUUAUGAUGGGGGGAGCUCCAUGGCUUCCGUGCCCCACCCACUGCGCAGCCGUGCCUUCUCAGAGAGCCAUAUCAGCUUGGAGCCCCAGAGCUACAGAGCCUGGGGGCAGCAUAAGAGGGAGCUCUUUACCAAAGUUGAUAAAACCCGGCCAGAUCCUCUGGAAACCAGGAAGAAAUCCUUUCCUCCUCCUCGCCCUCCUCCUCCCAACUGGGAGAAGUACCGGCUCUUCCGAGCAGCCCAGCAGCAGCAGCAGCAGCAACAGCAGCAGCAGCAAGAAGAGGAGGAAGAGGAGGAGGGGAUGGAGGGGGAGGAUGAGGAAGAAGGGGAAGAGGAGGAGCUGCCACCCCAGUACUUCAGUUCAGAAACCACUAGUUCCAGUGCCGUCAAUCCUGAGGAGGUCCUGGAACAGCAGCAACUCCUGGGCUUUGGCCACCUGGAAGCUUCAAGGCAGGACUCACAAAGCCUCCCAGCAGAGCAAGAGUCCUUUGCUCUCCAUUCCAGUGACUUCUUGCCUUCAAUAAAUGGCCACUUGGGAUCUCAGCCCGAGAAGGCUCAGCUCCCUUGCUAUUAUGGCAUUGGUGGGCUUUGGAGAACAUCAGAGCAAGAGACCUCUGAUUCCCCCAAACAAGAAUUUCAGCUCUUCUCACCUCCUCAGGGGGUCCCAGGGAUUCCUACCUCCUACUCAGCUUAUUACAAUAUUUCUGUGGCCAAGGCAGAGCUGCUGAACAAGUUGAAAGAUCAACCAGAGAUUGCAGAGAGUGGACUGGCAGAGGAGGAAGUUGACCAUGAACUGGCUCAAAAAAAGAUACAACUUAUUGAGAGCAUUGGCAGAAAACUUUCUGUCCUGCAGGAGGCCCAGCGAGGACUUCUAGAGGACAUCAGUGCCAAUUCUGCCCUUGGGGAGGAGGUGGAGGCCAACCUAAAAGCCGUCUGUAAAUCCAAUGAGUUUGAAAAAUACUGUUUGUUUAUCGGGGACCUGGACAAAGUGGUCAACUUGUUGCUGUCACUCUCUGGUCGACUGGCCCGGGUGGAGAAUGCUCUCAACAGCAUUGAUUCAGAGGCCAACCAGGAGAAGCUGGUGCUGAUAGAGAAGAAGCAGCGGCUGACAGGGCAGUUGGCAGAUGCCAAGGAGCUGAAGGAGCACGUGGACCGCCGGGAGAAGUUGGUAUUUGGCAUGGUCUCCCACUACCUGCCUCAGGACCAGCUCCAAGAUUACCAGCACUUUGUGAAAAUGAAAUCUGCUUUCAUCAUUGAACAGCGAGAGCUGGAAGAGAAGAUCAAGCUUGGAGAAGAGCAGCUCAAAUGUCUCAGGGAGAGCCUACUCCUGGGGCCCAGCAAUUUCUAAUUCCACCAGAAGACUGCCACACCAUCCCUGCCCAGGCACAAUGGAAAAUUCUUUCAAUCUUUGUUAGCAGUUUAUUAGCCAAGUAGAUAGUAGUUAGUUAGCAGUUUGUUCCAUAUCCUCUACCUUGGAUGUUUCUCACUGCCCCCUACCUAGCAGUGCUCCUUGGGGAGACCUUGGGAAGGACCCAGGCUUCUACUCUAGGGAGUACAAGCAAGAAGUAGAAGCUUCAGUAAGCUGUGAUCAUCCAGCCAAACUCGCCCUCCCACAGUUUGCACAGGCAAGCACUUGCCACACACAGAAUCAAUAAAGUGUCUUCAAUCGUCUUUGUACUAGGACACCAAAGGCAUCAUGCUCUCACUAUUCACCCACACAAUAAUCAGCCUCUUGAGGCUCAGAUAGAAGCUGCCUGUCAACUCUAGUUCCCCAGUGCUCAUGGCCCAGCCACUUCCCACAGAGAUCUGGCUGUCUUGAGGGCAUUAACCUACCACCAAUGUCAAGGCCUCACCCAGGCUUUACAGUGGGAAGCACAGAGGAGAAAUUAUACUUGACAGAAUAUGAGCAAAGUUUGGGAAUCCCCAGGUACCCUUCUGGGAAGGACUUGGCUUAAAGAAAUUGGCUCCACUCCCACAUCCCCCAGCACUAGUUGAGUGGGAAGAGGUGUACUCUCAACUGUGGCUAGGGUGGGCCCCAUCCUGUCCAAGACUUUUUGGUGUACCACUUCCUGUUUCAUCUCACCUUUUCAUUGCUGAGGGUUGCAAAGUGCUUCACACUGUGGCCAUUAAUAGCUCUACUAAAGUUGACUUCUAGAUACAUAUUUCGUUAUUGGGGGUAGGGGGUUCGUAAUAUUGUAUUUUAAAAGGCCUUUUGAUUUUAUUUAUUUUUAUGUUUUGACUGAUUUUUUUUUUCUUUUUAAACUAAUAAGGCAAGAAGAAGAGAGUUGGAGAGGGAAAGAUAGUUAGAAGGAAAGCAUUUUCUGCAGAUCAGCCUGAAUUCACCAUGGUUAGGCACUAGGACAAGCAAUGAUCAAGUUGAGGCAUCCUAUAUUGGGGGAUGAGGCCAAUGUCAUCCAUCAUUCUAAGAUUUUUUUGUGGGUAGAACAGCUUUUUGGAAAUAUAGGCCUGGGGAGAAGAGUGGUCACUUACUUGGACACCAUGAUCAUGGUCUGUGAUAUUCUAGUCAGUGUUAGAUUGAUUGUACAUCAAGUUUAUCACAAUUAAAGUACAAUUGACUCCAUAUUUUUGUACCUCAUCCCACCUUAAAUUAGAAUCAGAACACAAUGGUACUCAUUUUCACACAAAGGGACAGUUCCCAAAGCACUUAUUUGAUAACCCCAAAGCUAUAUUGAAUGGUGAAGGCCAGCAAAUAAAAGGGAACUACUAACCAGGCACUGAGCCCCACACUGCUGCUGUGCUGGUCCCACUGUGAGUAAUAGUGCUGCCAAGCUGCCAGUAUUACUUGAGAUGUGAUGUCUCUUCCCUUUUCUCAUUUCCUGGACUCAGCCCUUCUGCAAGGCCUGUCAGGGAGCCAAUGGGAUUUCCCCAAAGAUAGUUAUUGGUCUUGACUUCUGUCCUCUCCCUUCAAAUAGUCUUACGGGCCAUAGUGGGUAAUAGGUAAGCACAGUGGUUGAUCUAGAUAGAGGGGUUAGUGCCAGAAUUAGCGUCCCAUGUCCCUCCUUACUGCCCUCCACCCAAGCCAGGGCUCUGGGUAGUUGAGUGACCCCACCAGCUUCAGACUCAGCCAGAGUAUAGCAGUAAAUGCUCAAGGGGAGUACAAGAGAAAGAGGCACAUACACUGAAAACAAAGCCCUAGAAAGGGAGAGACUGGAAACAGGAACAGAGGUUGAAAAGAUGAAAAGCCUCUUUUAAGGCCAGCUUCCGGUUCUGUUUUCCAUCUAACCUCAGGUGCCAAAAAGCUGCCCAGGGGCACUAGAGCCACACCAUAACCCUAACCUCCCCGAAGGUGCUGCUCUUCCAGUAGCAGUCCCCAAAUAGAGGAACCUGGGCACAUUUCUGGCCACUUUCUCCUGUCUGGAGCUUGGUGACUACUGCUGUCUUUGCCAAAGGAGUUAUCUAUGCCAAUAAUAUUUCUGUAAAAGCAUAUUGUAUUCUUUGAAGAUUAAUAGAUAUUUAGAGGGGGGUGGAGCAGGGGCACUUUCUAUAGAUAAAAAACCAGUAUUUGCUGUACAACUGUUGAGAGUCAUUUAUCCCACUUGAAGCUAUUAUUUUUCUGAAUUUAAUUGUUUCUGCAUUUAUGUCCUCCACCACUCCCUUCCUGGCUGACAUGGAUGUGCCUGCCAGAUUGUCAUCAAGGGUCAUACUUCAAUAAAAGGUGCUAAGGACAAAAAAAAAUAUCUCACAUGUUUUGAUGAGAUAGAAAUCCCCUAAUAUUCUGCUGAAAAGUAUUGGAAAGGAAUUUAGUAACCGAUUUAUAAUCCUUCAUAGGUAGCCAUAUGACCAGAGCAUUGAUGCUGUACCAUUAUUUAUUCCCAAUAAAAUAAUUUAGAAUUCAGGAAGAGUCAACAAUAGGUAUAAUCUCAAGUGUAGACCUCAGCAGUAUACAGAGUCUAAUUCUGGAAUAUAGCCUGAUCAAGGAAAGCCACGUUCUAGACCUCCUCCAAUUCUGAGUUCUGUUUACUAGUAUCAUCUUAUUUCUACCUUCAUUCUUAGCAACCUGGAAAGCAAGGUCCUUUCUGAUCAGCUCUCUCAAGAUUUAGACCCAAAUGCACUCCAGGCAGCAACUCUGACUCUGGAAAGCUUACUUUUUCCCCAAUUCAUACAUUGUUCGCAUCCCAACUGAUCUGCUCCUAUUCUAGAUAUCUAGUGUGGUAGAGUGGAAAGAGCCCAGCUUUGGCACUGGAAUGAACUGUGCUCAAAUCUUGGUUCUGCCACUUAUUCUAUGAACCUGGGUUAUUUGCUUAAUUUCUGAGAUAAUUUUCUUAUCUGUAAAGUGGGAACAAUAAUAUGUAUCUUGCAGGGAUGUUAUGGCUUAAAAAUAAUACAUGAAAGCCACCAGCUAUCUACUGACAAGUUGUUAAAAAGGCAGAAUUGAAUAUUUUGAAUUUCAGACUCCAGCCUAAACCAAGUGACAACAGUCUGCAUUUUAACUAGAUUCCCAAGAGAUUCAUAUGCAUAUUAAAUGUUGAGCAGUACUAACCUAUCACAAACAUGCUCAGUACAUGGUUAACUAUUAUUCUAGUCCUGAUUUACUCAAUUCUUUCCUAAUCCUAGGCAUAUUCUUGCUCUUCUCAUACAUGCCUAAAUGAGUUCAGUCAGCUGCACGAUACAAGGUUGAUAUAUAAAAUCACUUGUAUUUCUGCACACUAGCAAUUAAUAAUCUGAAAAUAAUUUCAUUUAUAAUAGCAUCUAAAAGAAUAAAAUACUUAGGAAUACAUUUAACAAAAGUGUAAGAAUUUUACACUGAAUACUACAAAACACUGUUGAAAGAAAAUAAAGAAAAUCUUAGUAAAUGUAAAAACAUCCCAUGCUCAAGGAUCAGAAGACUUAAUAUUGUUUACAUAACAAUGCUGCCCAAAUUGAUCUGCAGAUUCAAUGCAAUCCUUAUGAGAAUUCUAGCUGGCUUCUCUGCAUAAAUUGAAAAGUGAAUCCUAAAAUUCAUGUGGAUUUGCAAGGGACCCAGAAUAUUCAAACCAAUCAUUAAAGAGAACAAAGUUAGAGGCCUCACACUUCUCAAUUUCAAAACUAACUACAAAGCUACAGUCAUCAACUGUUUGGUACCUGCACAGGGAUGGACAUAAGUGAGAUGGCAUUGAGAGUAUAGAAAUAAAUACUCACAUUCAUGUGCCAGGACAAUAAGAUGGAUAAAAAAUAGUUUUUCAACAAAUGAUGUGGGAACAAGUGGGUAUCCACAUGGAAUAGAGUGAAGGUAGACCUCUUUCUUAUACCACACACAAAAUUUAACUCAAAGUAGACUAUCAGUAUACAUGUAAGGGUUAAAAUUACAAAACUCUUAGAAGAAAGCCUAGGAGUAAAUCAUACUGACAGACAUUGGCUUAGGCAAUUAUUUCUUACAUAGAACUCCAAAAGCACUAGUGACAAAAAAAUAUAAAUAAAUUGGAGUACAUUAGAAUUAAAAACGUUUGUGCUGUAAACAAUACCAUCAAGAAAGUGAAAAGACAAUCCACCUAAUGGGAAAAAUAUUUACAAAUUAUAUAUUGGACCUUUAUUCAGAACAUAUAAAGAACUCUUGUAGGCAUUUGUGAAAACUUAUCUAUGAUAUGGUGGAUAUUGUCCAACUGAACUUGAACAGUCUGAGAGAAAUCAGACAAAUUAAAACAACCCAUUCCUGGGGAAUGUUCACAUCCCUUAUGUUCCUUUAACAGUAAAUAGUCUGUAGUUGUAAGAUUUUGGAGUGCUACAAUUUGCACUUCUCCUAAUUCUUGGUUGAGUUCCAACAGUAUAGAUCCAGUCAAAUUUGUUGUUUUACUGUAUGCACAGGCCAGCUUAGAUAUCUCCUUCAUUCCCAUGGCAAUUUGCUCCCUUACAACACUAAACUAUGUUUUCUACCUUUAUCUUGUAUCUACCUACCACUUCAGCAUUUUAUUAAAAAUAAUAAUAAUAAAGAGAGAAAUGUGGUAUCUACAUAUAAAUCAAGUAUAAAAAUCAAAUGAGUAUUCAUAUUUGAACUGUUUAUAGUUCAUAAUGCAUGAGCAAAACCGAAAGUUUCUGUGAUGACUGCCCUUGUACUGUUCACUAUGUAACUUAUUCACUAUGUAAGAAUUUGUUCUCCAUGUAAGAACUUGUUUGUUAUGCCUCAGAAGAUUGGAGACUGACGAAAAUUAGGCUUGGGUGGAUUAAUGAUUGUGCAUUGAGCAUUGACUCCCCUAUACAGAAUUUUAUUGUUGUUAACAACCAUUUGAUCAAUAAAUAUGAGAGAUGCCCUCACAAAAAAAAAAAAAGAACUCUUGUAACACAAUAAUAACAGUAAACAAUUUUAAAAUGGAUCACAGGAUCAGAAUAGACAUUUUACCAAAGAAUAAAUGCAGAUAGCCAAUAAGCACAGGGAAAGAUGCUGAACAGUAAGGAAAUAAAAAUCAAAACCAUAAUGAUUAUGAUGGUUAUAAUAAAAAAUACAGUAACAAGUGUUGGUGAGGAUAUGGAGAAAUUGAAUCACUCAUAUUUUGCUGGUGGGGAUAUAAAAUGAUGUAUCCACAUUGGAAAACAAAUUGGCAGUUCCUUAACAUGUUAAACAUAGUUUCCAUAUGACAUAGCAAUUCCUCUCCUAGGCAUAUAUCCAAGAGAUUGAAAACAGUCAUUCAAACAAAAACAGGUAUACAAAUGUUCAAAGCAGCGUUAUUCACAAUAACCAAAAAGUGGGAACAACCUAAAUGUCCAACAGCUGAGGAAUGGAUAAACAAACUUUGGUAUAUCCAUACAGUGGGAUGUUAUUCAUCCAUAAAAAGGAAUGAAGUGCUGAUACGUGCUACAACAUGAAUGAACCUUGAAAAUAUUAUGCCAAGUUAAAGAAGCCACUCACAAAAGAUCACAUAUUGUAUGAUUCCAUUUAUAUGAAAUGUCUAGAACAGGCAAAUCAAUAGAGGCAGAAAACACAUUAGUGAUUGCCAAGGGCUGGAGAGCUGAGAGGAAUAAGAAGUGACUAACAGGCAUGGGGUUUCUUUUUAGGGUGAUGAAAAUAUUCUAAAAUUAGAUUAUCAUCAUGGUUGCCCAGCUCUGUGAAUGUACCAUAAACCAUUGACAUACUUUAAAUGGGUGAGCUGUAUGGUAUAUGAAUUAUUUCCCAAUAAAGGUGGUUUUCAAAAAGCUUUUGCUUUUUUCUAUCAAUCUCAUUCCUAUUGACAAAAUUCUGAAUUGAUAGUAAGCAUGUAGUUCGUGCCUGAGCCCAAAGGGUGCAAUACUCACACUGUUUGCAUUUGGGAAAGGAACUUGGCAUUACAUCCUUCCCCUUGCAGACUUGGCAGACCAAGCAGCACAAGGAGUAAUAGUAGUCUCAGCUGUCUCAUGACUUUAGUGGGAAGAGUAGGGAUGGGACCUAUUGGGGCGGAUGGGCAAUCUUUCUAAGCAUAUAGUAUG